RNAcentral lists this ribosomal RNA (205 nucleotides) under Alexandrium margalefii. Its description in RNAcentral is "partial Bacterial small subunit ribosomal RNA". It matches the Rfam family "Bacterial small subunit ribosomal RNA", at positions 132 to 353 of the family's 1533-position model. The record is from RNAcentral. Lineage: Eukaryota; Dinophyceae; Gonyaulacales; Pyrocystaceae.
UCUUCUGCGGAAUAGCCACUGGAAACGGUGAGUAAUACCGCAUACGCCCUUCGGGGGAAAGAUUUAUCGGAGGAGGAUCGGCCCGCGUUGGAUUAGGUAGUUGGUGGGGUAAUGGCCUACCAAGCCUACGAUCCAUAGCUGGUUUUAGAGGAUGAUCAGCCACACUGGGACUGAGACACGGCCCAGACUCCUACGGGAGGCAGCA